This 988-nucleotide long non-coding RNA is filed under the name Marmota monax (woodchuck). The record is from RNAcentral. Lineage: Eukaryota; Metazoa; Chordata; Mammalia; Rodentia; Sciuridae.
GUUUGAGAGCAGAAACAAACCAUGGACAAAACUGGUGCACCAUUUAGUUUUGUGUUUGAAGUUUUGUUGAAAGCAGCCAUGUCUAUUCACUUCUUUUAUAUAGAUUCUGUUUCACAAACACCAAGUUGUGAAGUGGUAGCACAGAUCUUAUGACCGUAAGAACCUAAAUCAUGAGCUUUUGGGCCCUUAGUGGCCAUUUGCCAACUUCUGUUCUAGAGGAAGGAAGGAGAGCAGACAGGCUAUGGGUCCUGCCCCAUCACAACUCUCUGCUGUGGUUUGGAUAAAUGUUCCACCAGGCCACAGGUGCUAAGAACCUGAUCCCAACCUGUGGCAUCCCUGUAACCUGGCAGAACCUUUAGGACAUGGGGAAAGUUGGGUCAUUGAGGUGUGUCUUUGUGAGGGACAGUGGUCUUAAUCCCCUUUCUUACUCUCAGUUUUGCUUUCUGGUUGCAAUUAGAUAAGCAGCUCCUUUGCCACACACUACUGGCUCAGAAGCAAUGGGGCCAAAAAACCAUACCCUGAAAUGUCUGAAGUGGUGAGACAAAAUGUGCCCUUUAUUUUAAGCUCAUUAUCUCAGGCAUUUUCUCAUAGCAAUGGAAAGUGAUUAACAUACCCACAUUUACCUUAUUUAGUUUUGAUGGUGGCUGAGCUCUAGCAGGUUUAAGAACUAGGAAAUAUGCCUGUGAGUUCCUGUCAUCUCUGUUGUAUCACAGCCUCAACAUCAGGCCUCAGGAUUACACUGUGGCCAACACCUCCCACUCACCUGGGGACACUAAUUUAUCUUCUUAGCUACUCUAACUCUGGAAAAUAUCUUUAUACUUGAGGUCCAGUAGGGUGCCAUAUUUGCCUCAUCAAAUAUAGAAUUUAUUUCUGUAAGAUAUUUUGAUCCUUUCUUCAACUUCUUUCUUUAGCACUUUCAUGGGAAAGGCAGUAUUCUCUGUAGGAUACUUGAGGAGAAACAACAUGUAAUAAAUAAAUUCUUUUUUCC